Molecule: long non-coding RNA, 1029 nt
Filed under: Felis catus (domestic cat)
Lineage: Eukaryota; Metazoa; Chordata; Mammalia; Carnivora; Felidae
Description: lncRNA (ENSFCAG00000050232.1)
Source: RNAcentral
CGAUUAACGGUUUUACAAAGCGGUUUCGCGCCCAGGAGGCCGGGGCUCGUAGCGAAAGCGAACCAAGGCCGGCGCACCCCCCCCCCCCAACACACACACACACCAAGCGUCCCCGGCCUUGUUUUGGCCGCGCGGGGCUGGCGGCGGGACCCCUCCGGGCCACCGGCUGGACCGCGCCCGCGGCCCCUCCAGCGGGUCUGCGACACCGGCGGGCGCACCUGUGCAGGCGGAGGGCAGGUGCCGGGCGGCGGCCGCGCCCCCGCUCCGCGCGCAGUUCCUGUUCCGGACUUCCCCGCGGCCACAAUAAAGCCCUUCUCCGGCCCCUGGCAGGUGCGCGGCGACUCGGGGCGACUCGGGGCGCCCCGGGUCCCGGCGGGGGCCAGCGCCCGACGCCAUCUUCCCGGACUCCGGGUGGACACCGGGCCGUGCGGCCGGGGGCUGGCGGUCCCGCGCUCCGGCCCGGUUCGCGGGCGGUGGGAGCCGGGCCCCGGGAGGCCGAGCCGGUGGGCGGUGCGGGGCGACGGGGUAUCCGGCCCUCGGGGCGGGGCGCCCCAUUGCACGGAGGCGGAGACUGAGGCCCGCGCGGGCUGCGGCUGGUACAGUCGCCGGCGGGGGCCUGGAGACCCCGCCAGAGAGGGUGCGUUACGCAGCCAGCGUCCCGAAACGUCGCCCGAAAGUGACACACCGACAGCCGCCCGGGACGGAAAACCCUGGGCACAGGUCCCCCACCUUCCAGCCGCUCUCUGCGCGCUCCCCUGCCGGGCUCGGGCUUGGCGCGGGGGCGCAGGGCAGAGGGGCUGGGGCCACAGCCGGGGGGCGGCAGGGCUCGGACUCACCUCGAGUCGGAGGUGGCGGUGGCGGCGGCGGCGAUGGUGGCGGCGUCCGGAGCGCUCGGGCCGGGAAGCGUAUUGUCUGCGGCCGCCGGCCGGCGCGCGAGCGUAUAAACCGCCGGGCCCCGCCCCGGCCCGCCCCCGGGGCCGCCUCUCCCGUCGAGGAGCUCGGAACCCGGGACCCGGGUCCCAGUGGUAA